Molecule: long non-coding RNA, 2654 nt
Organism: Mirounga angustirostris (Northern elephant seal)
Lineage: Eukaryota; Metazoa; Chordata; Mammalia; Carnivora; Phocidae
Exons: 3
Source: RefSeq, a predicted model, not a curated record
AAUUUAGUUGAACAAAUCCGUAUUUGUUAGAGUUGCACACCACCCCAGGAAAAAUUAGUAUAACUUGUGAUGUAGCUGAGCUCUAAAGGCCAUAAAACCUACCACUGUGGGUGAUAUAAUUUCUAGGCAGAAACUCUUUCUGAAGUUCAAUGUUGGAAAGAGAAAUGUCCAGAUGGGGGCGGCAGGGGAUGAUAGAAGGGGUAUGGGGUGCGGUGGGGAGUCAGAGGACCUAAACAAACCCCAGGCACUUCCAAGAGUCAUAACAAUGACCAAGGGGAGGAGUUUCAGGACCCGGGAUGAGGAUGUGUGUUCCUCAGGAAGGACAACCAUUGACACGUGAGGGACAGCCACCACAUUUGGAAACCAGAGUGCCUGUCGGCGCAAACCCACCCGGUCUCCCUCUCUGCCGGGCCUGUGGUGUUUGGAGGAGCCAGGGAGUGGUGGGCUGGGUCCCCUGUGGGAGACUCCAGGGCUCCAGCCUGGCUCCCUGGGGCUGCAGGGUGGGCAGCCCGUGAGGCAGCCCCCGGAUGCCUGGUUUGCUCUGUGCCCCGGGGACGGAUAACUCUGUGUGCUCAAUUCACCAAGUCAGGAAGGGAUGUCCAGACAUUCCUCUGUGGCAGUCACGUGCCUUAGGCUGAGUGAGAGGAAAGGGGUGACACGUGUGUCCGGGAUGACUUAGUCACAGUGCAAAAUCAGCCCCAUCUUGAGGGCCUUUGAAGAUACGGCAGCUGGCUGCUGACUUCAAAUCUGUGGCUGUUUCCCGAAGCCUCUGACUUGUGGCCCGACUGGUCGGUUUUGCUGAAAAGGCCGAGCGAGCGCCGGCAUGCAGUGCUGGCUCUUCAGUGUGAUAGUCCUAAACAGCCGGAAGUUGCGGUGAGGCAGAGUGGGGUGCUGGUGGCCUCCCGGCCAGACCCCCGCACACUCCACGCUGUCCCGCCCUGUGGCAGGAAGCCACAUCCUCCUGGGAAAGGAAUUGGCCAGAAGGACUCCAUAGUUCCACGGGUUUUUGUUCCGAGAACAUCAAUGUCCUGUCCAUUUGUGAACCUGGAAUUUGGGAGGAGGAUCUCCCAUGGUGACACUCAGAUACUCCAUUGUGAAAGACCCUGCUGUGUAGGGACAAGUUCAGCACCGUGUAGCCGCCUCCCUUCCUGGAAGGUGCCCUCUGAACUGCUCCUGUCUGCACUGGCCACAUGUGAGUCUCAGACCCAGCUUCCAAGUGCUCUUUGGAGUCAAGAACUGCACGCAGAACCUGGACCCCUCUCCAAGCAAAUCUCCCGCCCUUGCACUUCUGGUGGAUUCUGUCUCCUGCUCUUUUAUACUGCUCCGCUACAGCAGGAGGUCAUCUCAAAGUCCUCUUUGGAAAGAGAUUGGUGUAAAUAAAUUCAACAAGUAAAUGAAAAUAAUCCCGGGCUGUUGUUUAUGGCUCUGUGACCACUUUGCUCUUGCUCUUGGUCUCUUGGGGCCUAUGUCACCCCCAAAUUCCAGAGGAGGUUUCCUCUUGUCCCCACUUUGGGCAGCUGCAAAACAUCUUUCAAAGGUGUGGGAUAUGGAGCACUUUUAAAUAAGGCUUCUCAAGCUAUGCCCUUAGGAAACCAAAAUUCGUCCUUCAGUCCAUCAGUCAAUCAACAAACAUUAAUCGAGUACCUGCUAUGUGCCAGGCACCUGUCACGGGAUUAAAGAGGAGUCUAAGAGGUAAUUCAGACCCUCAGAGGAUUUCCAGUCUGGUUGGGGAAAUGUCCCUUCCUCUGGGGUUCACCCUCCUACUGAGCCUGCUAAAGAGCAUGUGGGUUAGCAACACAUAGAACUCACGUGCUGCUUGCUUCUGACACAUAUCAAUUGAGUUAACUUGGCCAAGUCACUUCAUCUCUUUGAACCCAGCUUUCUCAUCUAGUAAGUGAGGGGCCUAGAACUUACUUCAGAGACAUAUGGACCCCAUGCGUGCAAAGCUCUGGUCACCAUACCACACACAGUGGCUGACUAAGGAUGACCAAUGUCCCAUGAGCCUCUCCUCUCCGCCAGUGUCUGUUUCCUUAGCUUCGGGGACUCCGUGCUCUCUCUCUCUCUCUCUCACGUUCUCUCUCAAAUAAAUAAAUAAAUACAUCUUAAAAAAAAAAAGAAUAAUGCUUCCUAUUUUAAAGCCAUUAAUUUAGGUGCAUUUUAGCAACUUCUGCCUCCAUCCCAAGUAAAAAAAACCAAACCCACAAAAAAUACCCCAUAACUAUUAUAGCAACUCUCUAUGGGUUGUAAGUAUGUGUUUUCAAUGGCCGUUACGAUCCUGUUUCUACUCCCUCCCUCCUCAUCCUCUUCCUUCAUUCACAGGCACCCCCAAGUUUUCCUGUCACCAUUAAGCUGUGGAUUCCCAAAUUUUCCAAAGCUUUCCAAAGACCAGGAUGAAUGCACUUCAUUACAGAACUUAUAUACUAGAAGGCUAGGAACCUGGGGGACACAUGUGGUUUUAGGGAUGCCUGUGGGUGCUUAGGGGUGUGAUGUCCAGCGCCUUGCAUGUGGUCCGGUGCCCCCCCCAACAGCUUUCUGAGGAGGGUGUGCGUUUCCCCAGCAUUGAGGGGCAGGCCUUGUGUCUGACCACAUCAGCUUGGACCGUUGGGUGGUUUCUGCACUUGCUCUUGGUUGGACUAACUUCGGGGUGGGAGGGG